UCCAAGGCUGGUGCUCUAUCCAUUGCGCCACCUAGCUGCCACCUGUUACUAGGAUUUUUAAAAGUUCAUUGAAGUGAUAAAAAGUACCUCAGAGAGCUAUGGAAAUACUUCAUGCAAAAUGCCAAUCUAGACAAAUAAAUUGAGUUGGAAUACCUAGCCUACCCAAAAUGAAGUGCAUAAGAAACAUAUGAAUCCAUGCUUAAUAUGGGUCUAAUAAAUUUAUUGAACCAUGUAUUAAAGGUGGGUGCAAUGGGGAGAGAAGUGUUGAUUGGUCAAGAGUUCAAUUAUGAAUGUUAAAUUACUUAAACAUCAAUUAUGUCCAGAUAACCCUCUUUGGGUUGUCACCUCCAUAAAGUGGCUCCACUGUUUUGGACCACUUUCCAAGUGGAAAAAUAGAGAGUUGACAACAUCUUCUAGUAAUCAACAUUUCCCCUUAAAGGUUGGCAAAAUUUAGAAUCUUAAAAGUUAAGAAUACUGCAUAUUUGAAUUUAACCAGAAGGAAAUGUUAUUAAAGUUAUUAAUUUGGGGGAAUAAGCCAGUAAUUUGCUAAGUGUUCAAUGGAACACCUUGAAUUUCUUUGACAAAGCAGUUAGGGUGAAGAUCCUGCAUUUACCAAAUGUUAAUGGCCUAGUGGGGAUGGGAGGGAAGCUGUAUAAUUGUCCCACUUUAAAAAAAAAAUUAAAAAUAUUCCCAUGAUAUUUACUUGGUGUUGGGUUUAAGAGAGGUGACAGCCUUAAGAUUUUUGUGGUAUUUUCAAGUGAGGCAUAGUGCAAGUUGAAUUUUGAACAUCCCUGCAUUAGGAUAAGGCAUGCUAAUUGCCUUAGCAAAUAGCAAAGUUGUAACAAAAUGAAACAGGUAAUUAAUGUUUGGUCUUCAAAACACUUUUUUUUUUUAUUUAACAGGUGUGGCUAAAUGCUGGUGCUGACAAAUUACUAGGCGCCAGUGGAAUGGACAACAGAAGUUACCUUGCUGAAUAAAGUUAUUGAGGGAAAUGGGAGUCUUAAAGAAAACUACAAUAAUGUUGACACCUAACCAGAUUGCAUCAGCAGUGGCUGAAAGAUGUAUAUAUUUCGAAGUCUCAGACUAGCACGAGGGUGGAUCUGGGACCGUUCUCCUUGAGUUAGCAUUGAGUUCUCAAGUUGGAUGGAAAUAUGUGACCUAGAAGCUGAGAACAAUCAUCCCAGAAUGAAAAUUUCACUGUAAUGCAUCUAUGGGGGAGGAAGUACAAUACAACGUCAAGAACACUGGCUCUGGAACCAGAGGACCUGGCUUCAGAUAUUGCCUCUGAUCUUUACUACCUGUGUGACCUUGUGAUCACAACCUCCCUAGGCCUCAGUUCAUUAUGAGGGGAUAGAUUAGAUGGCCUCUCAAGUCCCUUCUGACUGUAGAUCUGUGUGCCUAUGAUUUAAUUUAUUCCUAGUGCUCAUUUGGCCUUAUGGUAAACAAUAAGCACCAUGGGGUCUUAUAUUUCUAUAUCUUUCAGUCAAUUGAGUGAUGAUAUGUGGUCUAAUGUACAAUAUCAUUUGCAAAAGCCUGCCUGUUACCUACUAAUAACCUCAUCAAGGAUACCUUCCAGUUGGAUAUAUAUUAUUCUUAUUAAACUUUUGUAUAAAUAGGAGAGUAGGCACAUAAUUUGGUAGUUGUUGAUACCCCCUUAGUAUCAACCUCCCAUUUUCCAGGUAUUAAUAAGGUCUGAAAUACUUUUCACACUUUUGGAUUCAUAGAUACCUAGUGAAUCGAUCCUUCAAUGCCCUCAUGAUUAUGUAAUUGCUCUUCAGUAUGGAUCUUCUCUGUAUAUAUACCUGUUCUUAUCAACUACUUUUUCCUAUCCUUGUGAUCUCUUAUCUACCUUCUCUCUAACCACAUCUGCAACUGUGAAGUUCAAGUCUCUUAGUAUUGUGCUUCUACUUUCCUUGAGGAUGAAAAGAGGUUUUUGUUUGUUUGCAAAUAUUUUGCAAAUUAGAUAUUUUCUGUCUUUUGUUUGCUGACCUCCUUAUUUCAUCUUGAAAUGCUCUCAGAUGAUUUUGCUUAGCUGGAUCUUUCACAAAACUUUCUUUAAAAUUAUUUUCUUUAAAUUGUUAUUGAUAUUUUUUCUCUUACAUUGCCUUCAUUUUGCAACAUAUCCCUCUGUCUUCCCCUUCCCAGAGAUUUCUCUCUUAUAACCAAGAUUAAAAAAGCAAAGAAGGGAACAAACAUUAAUCAAGCAUCUAUUAUGUAAUAGACACUGUGUGAAGGGGGAAAAAUAUCGUUUCAGCAAAACUAACCAAUCAAUUGAGUCUGGCAGUCCAGAACCUACAUUGGUCCAUAUUCUUAGUCCUCACCUGUAGCUGUGUGACCCUGGGCAAGUCACUUAACUCCACACAGUCAGGAAGAUGCAUUUUUUCAUAUCUUUUCCAAAGCCAAUCUUGGUCAUUAUAGCUAUACAAUAUUUUCAUUUUGGGGGGUUCUCUUUACAUUGUUGUACUCAAACUGUAUACAUUCUUUUCCUAUUUCUGUUUACUUCACUCUGUUAUCAGUUUAUCUAACGCUUCCCAUGUUUCUCUGAAGGCAGCCAAGUGGUGCCAUGAAUAGAGCACUCGACCUGGGGACCUAAAUUUAAAACUGACCUCAGACUCGCUAGCUGUGUGACGCUGGACAAGUCAAUAUUAACUGCUGUCUGUCUCAGUUUCCUCAUCUGUAAAAUC
Long non-coding RNA from Vombatus ursinus (common wombat), 2684 nucleotides. RefSeq lists it as uncharacterized. The record is from RefSeq and is a predicted model, not a curated record. Lineage: Eukaryota; Metazoa; Chordata; Mammalia; Diprotodontia; Vombatidae. The transcript has 3 exons.